Non-coding RNA from Pangasianodon gigas (Mekong giant catfish), 72 nucleotides. NCBI's taxonomy places the organism in Eukaryota, Metazoa, Chordata, Actinopteri, Siluriformes, Pangasiidae. The record is from the annotation of a GenBank genome assembly.
GAGACGACAGAAAAACACGGAGAGACAUUCCGAAUAUUAAUUAAGUGCACUUUCACAGUUCAACCAUAGUUA